This 761-nucleotide ribosomal RNA is filed under the name Xanthocarpia ochracea. Its description in RNAcentral is "LSU rRNA". It matches the Rfam family "Eukaryotic large subunit ribosomal RNA", at positions 165 to 944 of the family's 3401-position model. The record is from RNAcentral. Lineage: Eukaryota; Fungi; Ascomycota; Lecanoromycetes; Teloschistales; Teloschistaceae.
CGGGCGACGCGCCGGUCUAAGUCCCUUGGAACGGGGCGUCAUAGAGGGUGAGAAUCCCGUACGUGACCGGUGACCGAGCCUAUGUGAACCUCCUUCGACGAGUCGAGUUGUUUGGGAAUGCAGCUCAAAAUGGGUGGUAAAUUUCAUCUAAAGCUAAAUACCGGCCAGAGACCGAUAGCGCACAAGUAGAGUGAUCGAAAGAUGAAAAGCACUUUGGAAAGAGAGUCAAAAAGUACGUGAAAUUGUUGAAAGGGAAGCGCUUGCAACCAGACCUGCCCGCGGGUGAUCAACCGUCCUUCUGGGCGGUGCACUCGCCCGCGAUCAGGCCAGCAUCGGUUCGGGCGGCCGGAUAAAGGCCUUGGGAACGUAGCUUCUCUCGGGGAGUGUUAUAGCCCUUGGUGCAAUGCGGCCAGCCUGGACCGAGGACCGCGCUUCGGCUAGGAUGCUGGCGUAAUGGUUGUAAGCGGCCCGUCUUGAAACACGGACCAAGGAGUCUAACAUCUAUGCGAGUGUUUGGGCGUCAAACCCAUACGCGUAAUGAAAGUGAACGGAGGUGGGAACCCCUUGGGGCGCACCAUCGACCGAUCCAGAUGUCUUCGGAUGGAUUUGAGUACGAGCAUAACUGUUGGGACCCGAAAGAUGGUGAACUAUGCCUGAAUAGGGUGAAGCCAGAGGAAACUCUGGUGGAGGCUCGCAGCGGUUCUGACGUGCAAAUCGAUCGUCAAAUUUGGGCAUAGGGGCGAAAGACUAAUCGAACCAUC